This 568-nucleotide ribosomal RNA is filed under the name uncultured Bacteroidota bacterium. RNAcentral describes it as "bacterial SSU rRNA". It matches the Rfam family "Bacterial small subunit ribosomal RNA", at positions 346 to 916 of the family's 1533-position model. The record is from RNAcentral. Lineage: Bacteria; Pseudomonadati; Bacteroidota.
AGGCAGCAGUGAGGAAUAUUGGUCAAUGGGCGCAAGCCUGAACCAGCCAUGCCGCGUGCAGGAUGACGGUCCUAUGGAUUGUAAACUGCUUUUGUACAGGAAGAAACACUCGGACGUGUCCGAGCUUGACGGUACUGUAAGAAUAAGGAUCGGCUAACUCCGUGCCAGCAGCCGCGGUAAUACGGAGGAUCCAAGCGUUAUCCGGAAUCAUUGGGUUUAAAGGGUCCGUAGGCGGGUUUAUAAGUCAGUGGUGAAAGCCCAUCGCUCAACGAUGGAACGGCCAUUGAUACUGUAGAUCUUGAAUUAUUAGGAAGUAACUAGAAUAUGUAGUGUAGCGGUGAAAUGCUUAGAGAUUACAUGGAAUACCGAUUGCGAAGGCAGGUUACUACUAAUGGAUUGACGCUGAUGGACGAAAGCGUGGGUAGCGAACAGGAUUAGAUACCCUGGUAGUCCACGCCGUAAACGAUGGAUACUAGCUGUUCGGAGCAAUCUGAGUGGCUAAGCGAAAGUGAUAAGUAUCCCACCUGGGGAGUACGUUCGCAAGAAUGAAACUCAAAGGAAUUGACGG